RNAcentral lists this unclassified non-coding RNA (300 nucleotides) under Rhizophlyctis rosea. RNAcentral describes it as "partial internal transcribed spacer region". The stretch from base 1 to 46 matches the Rfam family "Eukaryotic small subunit ribosomal RNA", at positions 1786 to 1831 of the family's 1831-position model. Lineage: Eukaryota; Fungi; Chytridiomycota; Chytridiomycetes; Rhizophlyctidales; Rhizophlyctidaceae. The record is from RNAcentral.
AAGUCGUAACAAGGUAACCGUAGGUGAACCUGCGGUUGGAUCAUUAAAAAAUUUUGGUCUCGUGCCAAAACAACCUUUGUGUGCACCAUUGUCUGUCCUUGGUAGUUCGAGUUGCGUCCUGGGAGCUCAACACUCCGAUCUUGGGACGUCUACCCAGACACUCACGGUUUCGUGGUGUUUGGGUUGGGCUACCGCUUUUUUGAACAAACCUUUUGUAAUUGUUUUAUGCCUGAACGAAGAGUUGAUCUUUUUUGAUUAAUUAUUCUUAUACAACUUUUGACAACGGAUCUCUUGGCUCUC